This 253-nucleotide ribosomal RNA is filed under the name uncultured bacterium. RNAcentral's name for it is "partial 16S ribosomal RNA". It matches the Rfam family "Bacterial small subunit ribosomal RNA", at positions 524 to 776 of the family's 1533-position model. The record is from RNAcentral.
UACGUAGGGUGCAAGCGUUAAUCGGAAUUACUGGGCGUAAAGGGUGCGUAGGCGGCGACCCAAGUCAGAUGUGAAAGUCCUGGGCUUAACCUGGGGACUGCAUUUGAUACUGGGUUGCUUGAAUUCGGGAGAGGAUAGCGGAAUUCCCAAUGUAGAGGUGAAAUUCGUAGAUAUUGGGAAGAACACCGGUGGCGAAGGCGGCUAUCUGGACCGACAUUGACGCUGAGGCGCGAAAGCGUGGGGAGCAAACAGG